GCCACUUCCAGCCCUUUGCCUAAGAUUAGCCUAUGGGAAGCAUGGCCUCUGUGUGAAUUGGUGGUGGAUUCAAAGCACAGCAUCUGGGGUCCUGUGUCAAUUACGCUCUCCUCAACAGAAGAUCUGAGUGGUGGUGCAUCUUCAUGGCUGCUGGCAGGCCCCGCUGUGUAAUUACGUCUGGAAUUGGUGGGUUCUUGGUCUCACCGACUUCAAGAAUGAAGCCGUGGAUCCUCGUGCUGACAGAAUCAAGUUUUAAAGAUCCAGUUAAAUGCCUGGCUAUCAACUUGCCAAGAGCUGAUCCAGAUGGAAGCCAUCAUCCUAAGAGUCAGACAACUCAUUAACUCUAAAGGGACUGCCAUGUAUUAAAAAUUCUCUUUAUGGAUUGUGAUGAGUUGCAUUGUUUGAUUUAUUCUUUUGUAUUCAAACUAUAUUUAUGGUGUAUCUAGAAAUAAAAUUACCUUUAAGAUAUAUUUAAAAUUUUUCACACAC
RNAcentral lists this long non-coding RNA (489 nucleotides) under Homo sapiens (human). Its description in RNAcentral is "HSALNT0322363". Lineage: Eukaryota; Metazoa; Chordata; Mammalia; Primates; Hominidae. The record is from RNAcentral.